AUGUCCUUCAUGCACCAUUCUAAUGCACAUGAGGGCUAAAUAAAUAAAUAUAAGAUGGAAAUCAUAAAAUGCUAGAACAUUGAAAAAAUUACUUGUAAACAUAAAAAGAGUGAAAAGUUACUGCUAGUUCCAACUUGGUUUUCAUUGUUGCCUUGAUUCAACAAGAAAGAAGGAAAAUCACAUCACAUGUCUACAUAAGCACAGAAUGUAUGGUCAACCAAACUUAAGUAAAAAGGGGAAAAAU
This 244-nucleotide unclassified non-coding RNA is filed under the name Hevea brasiliensis (rubber tree). Lineage: Eukaryota; Viridiplantae; Streptophyta; Magnoliopsida; Malpighiales; Euphorbiaceae. The record is from RNAcentral.